GAUGAAGAACGUAGUGAAAUGCGAUAAGUAAUGUGAAUUGCAGAAUUCAGUGAAUCAUCGAAUCUUUGAACGCACCUUGCGCUCCUUGGUAUUCCUUGGAGCAUGCCUGUUUGAGUAUCAUGAGCAAAUCUCAAAGUCGAUCCUUUUGUUAAUUCAAUUGGUUUGCUUUGGACUUGGAGGCCUUGCAGAUUUCACCGUCUGCUCCUCUUAAAUGCAUUAGCUGGAUCUCAGUAUUAUGCUUGGUUCCACUCGGCGUGAUAAGUAUCACUCGCUGAGGACACUGUAAAAGGUGGCAAGGAAAAUACUGAUCGAACCGCUUCUAACGGUCUAUUAACUUAGACAAUUACCCUUAAGUUUGAUCUCAAAGCAGGUAGGACUACCCGCUGAACUUAAGCAUAUCAAUAAGCGGAGGA
This 413-nucleotide unclassified non-coding RNA is filed under the name soil metagenome. RNAcentral's name for it is "partial contains 5.8S ribosomal RNA, internal transcribed spacer 2, and large subunit ribosomal RNA". The stretch from base 1 to 120 matches the Rfam family "5.8S ribosomal RNA", at positions 35 to 154 of the family's 154-position model. The record is from RNAcentral.